GACGAACGCUGGCGGCGUGCUUAACACAUGCCAGUCGAACGGAAAGGCCCUGCUUUUGUGGGGUGCUCGAGUGGCGAACGGGUGAGUAACACGUGAGUAACCUGCCCUUGACUUUGGGAUAACUUCAGGAAACUGGGGCUAAUACCGGAUAGGAGCUCCUGCUGCAUGGUGGGGGUUGGAAAGUUUCGGCGGUUGGGGAUGGACUCGCGGCUUAUCAGCUUGUUGGUGGGGUAGUGGCUUACCAAGGCUUUGACGGGUAGCCGGCCUGAGAGGGUGACCGGCCACAUUGGGACUGAGAUACGGCCCAGACUCCUACGGGAGGCAGCAGUGGGGAAUAUUGCACAAUGGGCGGAAGCCUGAUGCAGCAACGCCGCGUGCGGGAUGACGGCCUUCGGGUUGUAAACCGCUUUCGCCUGUGACGAAGCGUGAGUGACGGUAAUUGGUAAAGAAGCACCGGCUAACUACGUG
Molecule: ribosomal RNA, 468 nt
Filed under: uncultured bacterium
Lineage: Bacteria
Description: partial 16S ribosomal RNA
Rfam family: Bacterial small subunit ribosomal RNA
Source: RNAcentral